Molecule: ribosomal RNA, 1085 nt
Filed under: uncultured bacterium
Lineage: Bacteria
Description: bacterial SSU rRNA
Rfam family: Bacterial small subunit ribosomal RNA
Source: RNAcentral
GGGUAACAGGGAGUGCUUGCACUCUGCUGACGACCGGCGCACGGGUGCGUAACGCGUAUGCAACCUACCUUCUACAGGGGGAUAGUCCAGAGAAAUUUGGCAUAAUACCCCAUACGAUCAUUUAUUGGCAUCGAUAGAUGAGGAAAACUCCGGUGGUAGAAGAUGGGCAUGCGUCCUAUUAGUUAGUUGGUAAGGUAACGGCUUACCAAGACAUCGAUAGGUAGGGGUCCUGAGAGGGAGAUCCCCCACACUGGUACUGAGACACGGACCAGACUCCUACGGGAGGCAGCAGUGAGGAAUAUUGGACAAUGGAGGCAACUCUGAUCCAGCCAUGCCGCGUGCAGGAAGACGGCCCUACGGGUUGUAAACUGCUUUUAUACAGGAAGAAACGCCGCUACGUGUAGCGGUUUGACGGUACUGUACGAAUAAGGAUCGGCUAACUCCGUGCCAGCAGCCGCGGUAAUACGGAGGAUCCAAGCGUUAUCCGGAAUCAUUGGGUUUAAAGGGUCCGUAGGCGGUUUUUUAAGUCAGAGGUGAGAUCCUGCAGCUCAACUGUAGCAUUGCUUUUGAUACUGAAAGACUUGAGUUAUUGUGAAGUAGUUAGAAUGUGUAGUGUAGCGGUGAAAUGCAUAGAUAUUACACAGAAUACCGAUUGCGAAGGCAGAUUACUAACAAUAUACUGACGCUGAGGGACGAAAGCGUGGGUAGCGAACAGGAUUAGAUACCCUGGUAGUCCACGCCGUAAACGAUGGAUACUAGCUGUUCGACCAACAUUGGUUGGUUGAGUGGCUAAGCGAAAGUGAUAAGUAUCCCACCUGGGGAGUACGCUCGCAAGAGUGAAACUCAAAGGAAUUGACGGGGGCCCGCACAAGCGGUGGAGCAUGUGGUUUAAUUCGAUGAUACGCGAGGAACCUUACCAGGGCUUAAAUGUAAGUUGCAUAGACCAGAGAUGGUCUUUUUUUCGGACUACUUACAAGGUGCUGCAUGGUUGUCGUCAGCUCGUGCCGUGAGGUGUCAGGUUAAGUCCUAUAACGAGCGCAACCCCUGUCGUUAGUUGCCAGCAAGUUAAGUUGGGCACUCUAGCG